Molecule: ribosomal RNA, 558 nt
Filed under: uncultured bacterium
Lineage: Bacteria
Description: bacterial SSU rRNA
Rfam family: Bacterial small subunit ribosomal RNA
Source: RNAcentral
CGGGAAAGCCGUGACGAGCAACGCCGACGUGAGUGAUGAAGGUCUUCGGAUCGUAAAACUCUGUUAUUAGGGAAGAACAAAUGUGUAAGUAACUAUGCACGUCUUGACGGUACCUAAUCAGAAAGCCACGGCUAACUACGUGCCAGCAGCCGCGGUAAUACGUAGGUGGCAAGCGUUAUCCGGAAUUAUUGGGCGUAAAGCGCGCGUAGGCGGUUUUUUUAAGUCUGAUGUGAAAGCCCACGGCUCAACCGUGGAGGGUCAUUGGAAACUGGAAAACUUGAGUGCAGAAGAGGAAAGUGGAAUUCCAUGUGUAGCGGUGAAAUGCGCAGAGAUAUGGAGGAACACCAGUGGCGAAGGCGACUUUCUGGUCUGUAACUGACGCUGAUUGCGAAAGCGUGGGGAUCAAACAGGAUUAGAUACCCUGGUAGUCCACGCCGUAAACGAUGAGUGCUAAGUGUUAGGGGGUUUCCGCCCCUUAGUGCUGCAGCUAACGCAUUAAGCACUCCGCCUGGGGAGUACGACCGCAAGGUUGAAACUCAAAGGAAUUGACGGGGACCC